RNAcentral lists this ribosomal RNA (311 nucleotides) under uncultured bacterium. RNAcentral's name for it is "bacterial SSU rRNA". It matches the Rfam family "Bacterial small subunit ribosomal RNA", at positions 29 to 334 of the family's 1533-position model. The record is from RNAcentral.
AACGAACGCUGGCGGCAUGCCUAAUACAUGCAAGUCGAACGAGAAAGCUCUUCGGAGUGAGUAUAGUGGCGCACGGGUGCGUAACACGUAGGUGACCUACCUUGUAGUGGGGAACAACCAGGUGAAAACCUGGCUAAUACCGCAUAAUCUGUAAAAAUUUGGAAUUAUUACAGGAAAGGGGGCUUCGGCUCUCGCUACUAGAUGGGCCUGCGGGGCAUUAGCUUGAUGGUGGGGUAAUGGCCUACCAUGGCGAUGAUGUCUAGCUGGUCUGAGAGGAUGAUCAGCCACACUGGAACUGAGACACGGUCCAG